This 728-nucleotide ribosomal RNA is filed under the name uncultured organism. RNAcentral describes it as "bacterial SSU rRNA". It matches the Rfam family "Bacterial small subunit ribosomal RNA", at positions 764 to 1501 of the family's 1533-position model. The record is from RNAcentral.
GGGAGCGAACGGGAUGUAGAUACCCCGGUAGUCACGCUGUAAACGAUGGAUACUAGGUGUGGGAGGUUAUUUACCCCUUCUGUGCCCGUAGCUGACGCGUUAAGUAUCCCGCCUGGGGACUACGGCGGCAAGGUUAAAACUCAAAGGAAUGACGGGAGGCCCGCACAAGCAGCGGAGCGUGUGGUUUAAUUGUGAUGAUACGGGAAGAACCUUACCUGGGCUUGACAUGGUGGUAGUAGUGAAGCGAAAGCGGAACGACCCUUCGGGGAGCCAUCACAGGUGCUGCAUGGCUGUCGUCAGCUCGUGUCGUGAGAUGUUGGGUUAAGUCCCGCAACGAGCGCAACCCUCGUCGCUAGUUAUAUGUGUCUAGUGAGACUGCCGGUAUCAAACCGGAGGAAGGUGGGGAUGACGUCAAGUCAGCAUGGUCUUUAUGUCCAGGGCUACACACACGCUACAAUGGCCGGUACAAUGGGUUGCCAUACCGCGAGGUGGAGCUAAUCCUCAAAGCCGGUCUCAGUUCGGAUUGCAGUCUGCAACUCGACUGCAUGAAGGUGGAGUUGCUAGUAACCGCGCGUCAGCAAUAGUGCGGUGAAUGCGUUCCCGGGCCUUGUACACACCGCCCGUCACAUCAUGGGAGUCGGCGGCCCUGAAGUCGGUGACCAAACCGAAAGGUAGGCUCUUCCUCAGGUGGGGCCGGUAACUGGGAUGAAUGUCGUAACAAGGUAACC